RNAcentral lists this transfer RNA (72 nucleotides) under Escherichia phage RB32. Its description in RNAcentral is "tRNA-Ile". The stretch from base 1 to 56 matches the Rfam family "tRNA", at positions 17 to 71 of the family's 71-position model. From Rfam's summary of the family: Transfer RNA (tRNA) molecules are approximately 80 nucleotides in length. The record is from RNAcentral. Lineage: Duplodnaviria; Heunggongvirae; Uroviricota; Caudoviricetes; Pantevenvirales; Straboviridae.
GGUUCAAGCAAGCGACUCAUAAUCGCCAGAUGGUGGUUCAAUUCCACCCAGGGCCAUAUUUUGGGAACAUAA